GGAUGAGUACACAGGGAAGUUUCCUACCUCAGAAAGAACCCUGGACUAAGUCGGAAGACCUGGCUGUCAACUCCAGCUCUUUCUCUUUGCCGAUGUGACCUUGAGCCUUGGUUUCUCCCUCUGUCAGGUGGGGAGAGGGAUGUAGCCCCACCUACCUGCCGCCUAGGGUGUUGUGAAAUUCUGAUGAAAUAAGGCCAGUGAAAGAGUGUCAUCAUCAGGUGGCCCUGGAGAGGAAAAGUGGCUGAGAAUCCCCUGCAAUGCUGGUGAUUCUAUUAGGCAACAGUAGCAGAGCAUGUACCUGCCCAUCACUCCCGCUGCCCUCAAGCACAGCUUCCAAGGGACACCAUCAGCCGGGACUAGGACUCCAAUGGCAAGGCUGGGAGACUGGGAGACCUGCCUGGCCGGAGGCCGGCUGCACCACGAUUUCCUUCCUGGCUUCAGUGAGAGUUUCCACCCAGUCUGGCAGUGAAGUAGUGCCAGGAUCUUCUUCAGGAGCAUGUUUCCAGGUUUGUGCAGGCUUCCCACUGCAGCUGCCAUGCAGCAGAAACUGAAUGAUUCCAUAAAGUCAAGAAAUAACCAUGAUGGCUCUUCGUAAGC
Molecule: long non-coding RNA, 597 nt
Filed under: Homo sapiens (human)
Lineage: Eukaryota; Metazoa; Chordata; Mammalia; Primates; Hominidae
Description: HSALNT0010937
Source: RNAcentral